AUUUAUUAAUCGCAGAAGAGUCGAUUUUGUAAAAUUUCCAAGGAAAAACCAAUAUUUACUUUUUCGCUCCAUUGUUUGCUGUAGGUUCAUCAGGUUCAAACGAAAUGAACGUAAAAAUAUGAAAGUAGAGGUUUCGCCUUCCAAAGUUACCUCACACUGAUUCCUCUAGGAAUGAUCAUUUUUCAGAAACCUAUUCAAAAUUCAAAGAUGGACAAUUUCACUGGGAAGACUUUUCUGAUGCCUUAAUUAACAACGCUCGCAACGGGGAGCCGAUUUCUCCUGCUGGUUUUAACUCGAUUUCUGUAUGUAUUUACAAGAACUUUCUCGGCGUGCACGAGGGGACACGCAGCAAUCUAAAAUCUUGAUCAACAGGGGACAGAGAAGCAGAAGAAGAGAAAAUUCGGACGUUUCUAUUGUUUUAAAAAACAUUGACCAGCAUCCAAGGAACUCUUGGACUUGUGCAUAUCACUGCGGUCGAUCGACCUGCGUACUUCGUCUCGAAACAAAGAUAAUUUGCUUAUCGCAAGUUCGUUUCACGUUUUAUCAACAACGAGUGACAAAAUUCGAUUGGACGCGCGUGCAAUGUUUCGGUCGUUAAAUUUUGUUACUUCGAACGUGGGAGAAGCGACGAAAGAAAAUUUGUAACUGAUAAUUAUAAUAUGAAAUAUUACGAAAGCUGGAUAUUAACAAGAAAAU
Long non-coding RNA from Bombus impatiens (common eastern bumble bee), 696 nucleotides. RefSeq lists it as uncharacterized. The transcript is spliced from 3 exons. The record is from RefSeq and is a predicted model, not a curated record. NCBI's taxonomy places the organism in Eukaryota, Metazoa, Arthropoda, Insecta, Hymenoptera, Apidae.